GUCCUCGUAGCUCAAUUGGAUAGAGCGCUUGGCUUCGAACCAAGAGGUUCCGGGUUCAAUUCCUGGCGAGGACACAA
Molecule: transfer RNA, 77 nt
Filed under: Candidatus Wolfebacteria bacterium RIFCSPLOWO2_01_FULL_38_11
Lineage: Bacteria; Candidatus Wolfeibacteriota
Description: tRNA-Arg
Rfam family: tRNA
About the family: Transfer RNA (tRNA) molecules are approximately 80 nucleotides in length. Their secondary structure includes four short double-helical elements and three loops (D, anti-codon, and T loops).
Source: RNAcentral